UGGGGAAUAUUGGACAAUGGGCGAAAGCCUGAUCCAGCCAUGCCGCGUGUGUGAAGAAGGUCUUCGGAUUGUAAAGCACUUUAAGUUGGGAGGAAGGGCAGUAAAUUAAUACUUUGCUGUUUUGACGUUACCGACAGAAUAAGCACCGGCUAACUCUGUGCCAGCAGCCGCGGUAAUACAGAGGGUGCAAGCGUUAAUCGGAAUUACUGGGCGUAAAGCGCGCGUAGGUGGUUCGUUAAGUUGGAUGUGAAAUCCCCGGGCUCAACCUGGGAACUG
RNAcentral lists this ribosomal RNA (276 nucleotides) under uncultured bacterium. Its description in RNAcentral is "partial 16S ribosomal RNA". It matches the Rfam family "Bacterial small subunit ribosomal RNA", at positions 355 to 623 of the family's 1533-position model. The record is from RNAcentral.